UCAGCCGCCAAACCUUCCCCUCUAUUCUCCUCUCCACUCCUCUCCAUCAACCGACAUCGGUGACGUCAGCGGCAUCCUCUUCUGUCUCAUCUCGCUGCGCCGGCUUCCCCCUCGCCGCUCGCCGUGUGGGUAUCCGUCUCCGCCGCUGCCGAGCUCGGGAAUGGCAGAUCUGCUGCCGCCAGCGGUCUCGGACCCAGCGCGGGUAGAUCGGGCGGCGGCAGCCCGGGGCUGCUCCAUGGCGACGAUGGCUUGCAGCUUGGCGACUCCUCCGCUUUUCAAUCCCGUUGUUGCCUGUUCAUGAUUUUGGUUUUUGAAGAGGAGCAGCGCAGAGAAGUGCCGAAGGCACCAGCAGCAGUCACCGACGGUAGCCUGCAUGCAAUAUUGCAGUGAUUCGUAGCAAGGUUUUCAACAUUAUUGUGGACAUGUCUCAAGGUAGCAACUCUAACAAUUAAAAAGGUUUCCAACAUUGUUGUGGACAUCUAGAGAAAAAACAUCCUGAGUGAAGAAAGUGACGGCGAUAUUUUGGCACUGUAACUCUGGGAGAAUUACUAAUAGAUGAUGCAUUUAUAUCCACUUGUUGCAAGAAGACGAGGAUGUUAAACAAGGCAUAGUUGACAAUUGGUUUCUGAAAAUAUACCUAGUAAAAACAUGAAAAGAAAUGCAAGAUGCCUUCAGGAAGAACAAGAGUGUCAAAGAGAGUGAAUCUAUGACUGUUAACAUGUUGGAUUUGGAUGUUACUCGGAAAUGUUGGAUGCUUGACAAUAUAAAUUUGAUUUGGCUAUUAUUGUGGUGUUC
Oryza brachyantha (malo sina) is the source of this 795-nucleotide long non-coding RNA. RefSeq lists it as uncharacterized. The transcript is spliced from 5 exons. The record is from RefSeq and is a predicted model, not a curated record. Lineage: Eukaryota; Viridiplantae; Streptophyta; Magnoliopsida; Poales; Poaceae.